CCACAGACUUAGAUGAAUGAAUGAGCAGUAAGUUUCCGAUCUUCUCAAGCGCGCCACUCUACUUCCUUCUAAAGGAUAUGAGAGAUGGCUCCCAACUCCUUCAAAAUUGGUGAAGCGUGGAUCAAUGUUAAUGCUGAUUGAUAACUUGGCAUAUAUUAGUGAUUGCAUAUGUAAGGU
Molecule: long non-coding RNA, 177 nt
Organism: Gastrolobium bilobum
Lineage: Eukaryota; Viridiplantae; Streptophyta; Magnoliopsida; Fabales; Fabaceae
Exons: 3
Source: RefSeq, a predicted model, not a curated record